GCCAGCGCAUCUGGAUACCUUGUCCAAAGUACGAGAGCAGUAUGAGCGCAAACUGAUCACCGUCGAGACUCAGCUGGAGGCCGGGCAAGAGGCUCAAUUGGACGAGAUGCAGAAUGCGCAAGUGCUCUUAAAUAUGGCAAAAGAAGAGAUGGGGAAUGUGCAGAAAGCGUUCAAGGCCAUCCGCGAGCAGAGUUUACAGUGUACUUCUGCGAUAGAUAAUUUUGAUCACGUGCUGCAGAUUCGAAACG
RNAcentral lists this non-coding RNA (248 nucleotides) under Thraustochytrium sp. LLF1b. The record is from RNAcentral. Lineage: Eukaryota; Bigyra; Thraustochytrida; Thraustochytriidae.